This is a long non-coding RNA of Hordeum vulgare subsp. vulgare (domesticated barley), 4499 nucleotides long. RefSeq lists it as uncharacterized. Lineage: Eukaryota; Viridiplantae; Streptophyta; Magnoliopsida; Poales; Poaceae. The record is from RefSeq and is a predicted model, not a curated record. The transcript has 5 exons.
GCUCCCGAUUCGUCCUCUCUCUCGAUCUCGCAAGAAAAAUCGCCGGCGCCCCUCCCUGCCCCACGUCCACGUCCCCUCUCCCAGUUUCCCCACCUCUCGCUCCCGAUCCAUCCUCUCUCUCGAUCUCAUGAGAAAAAUCGCUGUCGCCGCCACUACACUCGUCUGCCGUCGUGGCCGACGUCGCCGAGGUGCUCGACGUGGCGAGGCGUAGGAACACGGUGGCCUGUGGGCAGGUGGCCGCCAGGGCCAGCGCCGCAGUAUUGGGCGCGUUAUGGGAAGAUCUUGGCGGCAAUGACCGCGUUCUUCCUGUUCGACAAUGAGACCUGCCGCUGCAUUGCCUCCUCGACGCCUCCCAAGCCCCUCGGUGCUCUCUCACGGUGACCUCAUGGCGUUUCUUAGAUCGUGAUGUGACCUGCACUAUUAUUGUUCAUACAAAUUAUUCCAACAACUUUUUGUUGAAACAUGAUAUUAGUUAUAUUGUUCUUCUAUGUCAUGACGCCAUGUGAUUUGUUGAUGGUCUGCACCAGUCCAAUACUGGGUUAUUUUUCAGAAUAAUCAAUGAUCGUCCGAUGUAAGUUAUUCAUAUGAAAUUAUGCGCUUUUCGUGACUACUAUAUCUACUGCAUAUGUAGACAUGAAAGAUUUAAAAAAAAUAUUAGACAUGAAAGAUUUCAAGGUUCUAUGUAUAGGAAAAACUAAUUUUCAUUCAAUUGGAACCAUAGAAUCCAUAGUUUGUUUGUUUCCUUUGAUGUUUCGGUACUUUGAUUUGACUGCUUCCAGUUAUAGAAAAUAUGGCAAGCUAUUUUCAGUUGUGAUAACAGAGUGUUCUACUUGUGAUUUUCCUACUGUAGCAAGAGUUGUGUGGAUUGAUAAUGGUUAAUACAUUGCUGGAUAAAUAUAACUUCUAGUGAAUUAGUAUAUGUAUACAUUCCAGUGUGCACAGCCGAGAGUAUUUAGAGUAAUAUGCAUGCAACAUCAUCUACAGAUAUUCAGUCAAUCACUACUCUGCACUAGAACCUCUUUAACAAUUAUGUGAGCGAACUUAAGUAGUAGUCAUUUUAUUGGACAAAUUAAUAUAGAAAUCAAUGGUUUUUGUGAAAUGGACACGUGCAUGCGAGGUGGGUUGGCCGAGAUCUGCGCCUCCGUUCUUGGCAGUGCUAGUGCACAUCGACGUAUCAGAGGGCAUGGUCUGAACCCGUGUUUGUUUAUCAGUUCAUACUUCAUUGUACUUAAACUGUGUCCUCUUGUAAUAUGAAGAUGUUUCUCUUUGUGGGCAAUUCCAUGUUUGUUGCAUAUUUCAGAAAAUACUUGGAGUACGCAUAGCUCCAUUUCUUCUAAGGGCAAUUCCAUAUUGGGUGUUGAUCUUCAAGGUAGCCACAACCUCCUCCUCUCUAUAAACUGAUUAAUGUUUUAAUAGAUUCUUAUUUGGUCAAUCAUUUCUCGUGAUGUUACAGAUGAAAAGAAAAUUACUUGCUGGAAUAAUUAAUAUCGUGGUAGUGGUCUUGCAAUCAAAACAAAUAUUUUCUUUUAGCAAGUAUAGGAUUGUCUUCUCCAUGAACAAAUGGGAGCAAAUGGUAAUUUUCUUUAGCACUAUUUUACUUAUUUUUUGGCAUGAAAGCUUCCGACAGAAGAUGGCGAGCACCAGCAUGCAUUUUUCCCUUGUGCGAAUUGCCAACAGAGAUGACCAACUGGUGUCUGGAGGUCAUUCUUGCUUGAUUUGGGCACCGAUGGUUUUCACAUCUUCACAUCGAAGCCAUCAACGAUGAUGAUCCAGUGAACUCACCUACAUCAGGUUGAGUUAAGUGCCUUUUCCCCUUGUGUGAGUUGUCAACAGAGAUGACCAGGACGUAUCAGGUGGUCAUCCUUGCUCGAUUUGGGCAACGGUGGUUUUUGCAUCUUCACAUAAAAUUCAUCGGCAAUGAUGAUCCAGUGAACUCAGCUACAUAGGUACGGGUUGAGUGUGGUACGUUCACCCCUGAUCUCAUGCUAUUUCAAUAUACUUUGUCUUGAAAAUUUUUUACCUUCACUAUACAAAGUACAUGGAUUUUUACCUGAAAUUUACAGUAGCACACCACAAAAAACACUGUUCAUCUAUCUAUUACUGCUGCACAUUACAAUAUGUAGUUUUACAUAUUCUGUAUAUUGGUGCUUGGCCUACUCAGUAGGCGAGUAGCAAAUACAUGAAUAUUGAUUCAAGAACUGUGGUUCAACUAUGAAAUUGAACUGUACCUUAGAUAUAUGAUUGAAGGAGUACAUGGCUAUUAAUUCAAAUGUACCUUAAGGGUAUUUGAUGGUUUUGGGUCAAGUUUAGUGUUCUCGGUAGAGUUUAUUUGAAAUAUUGCAGCGUGGUAAUCAGUUAAUUUCAUGUCAGUUUUAUCUUCUCUGACAAAUCACUGGUAUGCCUCUACUUCCAUGACUUGAUCUUUCCUUAGCAACAAGGCCUCGAUGGUGCAGGGAGAGAACUCCUCGACGGUGCCUCCAAGAAGGUGAGACGACAUCCACAGACACUAACAUCGUCAACAGGCAAGCUUUCGCCCGGAGCACCUCCCAAUACCACAACCCCAUGCAAAACACCUCCACUAGCCCGCACGCCUCCCACGAAGCCAACAUGCCAUGACCACACAGAAGCCACCACAAACCUCAACGCCGGCCAGAAGAACCAGCGAGCCGAAGCCCGCGACACCUGCCAUCUCCAGACGCCCCCCAGGGCCGGAUCUGGCUGGGGGCGACAGGCCCACCACCACCAGGGAGCACGACAAUAGAGGCCGGCCACCGGAGCUAACCAACCCCUGCGGCGAGCCGGAGCCUCGACACCACAAGGGCCCAAGCCCCACGCACCGAGCCGCGCCAGGUCUAGGCCGAACCCAGGGCCGCCACCGCCGAGAUCAGAGCACACCCCCUAUCCGCAUCAGCCACUCCAUACUGCCGCAUGCAGCCGACGCCCGGCCGCCAGCUGUCGUCGCCGCACCGCCGCGCUGCCGCCCAACCCAGAUGACUCGCGCCAUCCAACAUCGGGCGAGGGAAGGAGGAGGCCCGUUGCAGCCUGAACUGAUCGGGCUUUGCCCGCCAGCACGCGGGGGCGGCUGCGAGGGGAGGGAGGCGCAGGGAGGAAGGAGGAGCUGGGCUUGGGUUUCCCCCCGGCGCAGGAGGGGGAGGGGGAGCCACACAAAUUAACUCUGAACACCACCAAGCUCUCAUCUGAUUUUAAAGGAGAGGGAGAAAUAUCCGGCUACGGCGUGCAACCGAGCAAAAGGGGGAGGGCCCGACAGGAAAAGAAAAGGGUGUGUCGUAGGAUGGAUUUUGUUUUGGCACCUCGUGUUGAAGAUAAUUUGGUGGAUAGUCGAGAGAACUACAUUUCUCCCCCACAUAUGGGAUGGAUUUGGGGGAGCUUGGACUAUGAAGGCGCUUGAUUAUUGUGGAGCCUGCUGGGCGACCUUUUGAUAUUUGUACAUGCCCGAAUGUAUGAAGAUGACAUGAGCUUCGAACUUUGAGACAUUUUAUAUCAUUUGUUUGAUUCAUUUAUAUGCAUUGUAGCCUGUAGCAAAACACGGACAGCAGCGAGGAGUUCGUCGACUCUAGCGUCAUGGAGGUUGGUAGGUUGCUUGUGCUAUUAUAAAAUGAUAGAACCUCUAAGUAAUUUGGUUUCUGGUUAGUUCGCUUCGGCGAAUUCCAGUGAUUGCUUGUUGUAUCUGUUUUCACAGUGGAGCUCACAUGUGUGCCAUAUGGUUUUGUGAUAAGAAUACGGCACGGAAGAAACCUUAGAUGUGUCCAGAAUAACCGGGUUUUUCCUUCUACUUUUGAACCGCAUUGCAUUACUGGGACUUUCUAGCCAAUGCCAACAAUUUAUAAUGUGGUAAAGGAGAUGACCGAAAUGAUGGGAUAUACGGUACGUUUGGUCCGGAUAACAGAAAUGGUGCAUGAUGCUUACUACUCUAGAUUGUAUCUUUCAAAGAUUGGAAAUGAAGAAGAGGUUAUUAGUUUUGAUCUCAAGCCAUGGGAUGCCAUCAACAUUGCUUUCCGGUGCAAGGUUCAAAAGGUUAUCUCUACAAGGACCGGAUUUUCCUUUUGUAUUUCUAGGUGCCAUGGUGAUUGGUGGUAGACGACGACGAAUGGACAAGAGAUAACAUUUGCUCUUUUCUGUCAUACAUUACGAAGCAUAGACCGGGACCUGAUGACGGUACUCCGGAGGCAAUGAGCUAGAACUGGGCUCACGUGCCAGCAUAGUUUGAGAAACUUGGCAAGACUUCAAGUGCAUCGUGUUAAAGAUUGUUGUCGUCCUGCUCUUCUACACUACCCACAAGAGACAAUAGAUGACCAUGUUCUCAAUUUCAAGCGGGAGCUAAUGUAGAGGAGCAGCAAAAGCAUGUCACACAUGCUCUAAUGUGGUUGUAUGAGGCGUGUACGCCAGCAAUGAUAUCUAUGUCAAGAAGACCGACAACUUGUAUCCAAUGCUUGUUGGAAAUAUGCCCUAGAGGCAAUAAUAAAUUAGUUAUUAUUAUA